Molecule: ribosomal RNA, 432 nt
Filed under: uncultured bacterium
Lineage: Bacteria
Description: partial 16S ribosomal RNA
Rfam family: Bacterial small subunit ribosomal RNA
Source: RNAcentral
AACGAACGCUGGCGGCAUGCCUAACACAUGCCAGUCGAACGAGACCUUCGGGUCUAGUGGCGCACGGGUGCGUAACGCGUGGGAACCUGCCCUUAGGUUCGGAAUAACUCCCCGAAAGGGGUGCUAAUACCGGAUAAUGUCUUCGGACCAAAGAUUUAUCGCCUUUGGAUGGGCCCGCGUUGGAUUAGCUAGUUGGUAGGGUAAAAGCCUACCAAGGCGACGAUCCAUAGCUGGUCUGAGAGGAUGAUCAGCCACACUGGGACUGAGACACGGCCCAGACUCCUCCGGGAGGCAGCAGUGGGGAAUAUUGGACAAUGGGCGAAGCCUGAUCCAGCAAUGCCGCGUGAGUGAUGAAGGCCUUAGGGUUGUAAAGCUCUUUUACCCGGGAUGAUAAUGACAGUACCGGGAGAAUAAGCUCCGGCUAACUCCGUG